AUCAUGAAGCUGUAAAAUCUCAAGUACAAGGAAAGGGAGAGAAAUUCAGAUUUACUUCCUGGCUACCAUCCUGAAGUUGCACUGGUGAUUUCUGUAGUACAUAUGUUUAAAUGUUGGUUGUCUUCAAAGAGGAAGAGGCAGACUGAGGAUACCAAUUGAGAAAUGAACUACUCUUCAGGA
Nothoprocta perdicaria is the source of this 180-nucleotide long non-coding RNA. RefSeq lists it as uncharacterized. NCBI's taxonomy places the organism in Eukaryota, Metazoa, Chordata, Aves, Tinamiformes, Tinamidae. The transcript is spliced from 2 exons. The record is from RefSeq and is a predicted model, not a curated record.